Long non-coding RNA from Acinonyx jubatus (cheetah), 441 nucleotides. RefSeq lists it as uncharacterized. The transcript is spliced from 3 exons. The record is from RefSeq and is a predicted model, not a curated record. Lineage: Eukaryota; Metazoa; Chordata; Mammalia; Carnivora; Felidae.
UAUGCUGUGAUUCCCUGGGUGUAAACAGAAGGGAGUUGAAAUGGACUCAUUCGGUGAUUGUGAAUAGUGAUUCCUAAGUUAUGGACUGAGAACUCCUCGGAGCAAUGGCUAAGGAAAUAUUGCAAGAGAUCCUUGGAUCUGUUGUCUGCGGAGUGGAUAAGGGCCCACGACAGCAUUUUCAUCUAUAAGUGGGUCUUCGGCCUUGAGAAGGAAUCUUGGCCAUCACUGAGGUGAAGUACAGUGACGGAUGUGUUGGGGCACCUGGGUGGCUCAGUCCGUUCAGCGUUCCGACCCUUGAUAGUGGCUCAGAUCAUGAUCUCACGGUUUGGGAGUUGGAACCCAGCAUCUGGCUCUGUGCUGACUGGAUGGAGUCUGCUUGGAAUGCUCUCUCUCCUCCCCCCCCCCUCUGCCCCUCCCCGACUCACACUUUGUUUCUCUCUC